Molecule: ribosomal RNA, 914 nt
Filed under: uncultured Russulaceae
Lineage: Eukaryota; Fungi; Basidiomycota; Agaricomycetes; Russulales; Russulaceae
Description: eukaryotic LSU rRNA
Rfam family: Eukaryotic large subunit ribosomal RNA
Source: RNAcentral
AUUCCCCUAGUAACUGCGAGUGAAGCGGGAAAAGCUCAAAUUUAAAAUCUGGUGGCCUUUCUGCCAUCCGAGUUGUAAUUUAGAGAAGCGUCUUCCGCGCUGGACCGUGCAUAAGUCUCCUGGAAUGGAGCGUCAUAGAGGGUGAGAAUCCCGUCUUUGGCANGGACCCCAGGGCUUCUGUGAUGCGCUCUCGAAGAGUCGAGUUGUUUGGGAAUGCAGCUCAAAAUGGGUGGUGAACUCCAUCUAAAGCUAAAUAUUGGCGAGAGACCGAUAGCGAACAAGUACCGUGAGGGAAAGAUGAAAAGCACUUUGGAAAGAGAGUGAAACAGUACGUGAAAUUGUUGAAAGGGAAACGCUUGAAGUCAGUCGCGUCGACCGAGACUCAGCCUUGCCUCUGCUUGGUGUACUUCUCGGCUGACGGGUCAGCAUCGAUUUCGACCCUUAGAUAAUGGUGGAGGAAAGGUGGCACCUUCACGGGUGUGUUAUAGUCUUCUAUCGGAUGUGGGGGUUGGGAUCGAGGAACUCAGCAUGCGCCUCUUGGUGUCGGGGCCUUGGCCCACGUCUACAUGCUUAGGAUGCUGGCGUAAUGGCUUUAAACGACCCGUCUUGAAACACGGACCAAGGAGUCUAACAUACCCGCGAGUGUUCGGGUGGAAAACCCGUGCGCACAAUGAAAGUAAAAGUUGGGACCUCUGUCGUGGAGGGCACCGACGCCCGGACCAGACCUUCUGUGACGGCUCUGCGGUAGAGCGUGUAUGUUGGGACCCGAAAGAUGGUGAACUAUGCCUGAAUAGGGUGAAGCCAGAGGAAACUCUGGUGGAGGCUCGUAGCGAUUCUGACGUGCAAAUCGAUCGUCAAAUUUGGGUAUAGGGGCGAAAGACUAAUCGAACCAUCUAGUAGCUGGUUCCUGCGAU